GUCAGCUCGUGCCGUGAGGUGUUGGGUUAAGUCCGUAACGAGCGCAACCCCUGCCUUUAGUUGCGACCGGUAACGCCGAGCACUCUAAAGGGACUGCCUGGGAUAACCAGGAGGAAGCGGGGAUGACGUCAAGUCAGCAUGGCCCUUACGUCCAGGGCUACACACGUGCUACAAUGGCCGGUACAGAGGGAAGCAAUACCGCGAGGUGGAGCAAAUCCCAUAAAGCCGGCCUCAGUUCAGAUCGGAGGCUGCAACUCGCCUCCGUGAAGGCGGAAUCGCUAGUAAUCGCGGAUCAGCAGGCCGCGGUGAAUACGUUCCCGGGCCUU
This 326-nucleotide ribosomal RNA is filed under the name uncultured bacterium. RNAcentral describes it as "bacterial SSU rRNA". It matches the Rfam family "Bacterial small subunit ribosomal RNA", at positions 1054 to 1382 of the family's 1533-position model. The record is from RNAcentral.